AGUGGGUUUGUUAUAUCAGGAGUGGGCUCCUUAUGAAAGCGUGAGUUUACUCCCCUCCCUUCCCUCGCCCUCUCUUUACUCUUCCACUCAUCUGUCAUGUGAGGAACAGUGUUCUUCCCACGCGCCCCCGUAGGAUGCAGCAUUCAAGACGCCAUCUUAGAAGUGGAAGCCAGGCCCGCAGCACACACCAAACCUGCCAGCACCUUGACCCUGGACUUUCUAGCCUCCAGAACUAGAGCUGACCACUGGGACCUGUGCUAAUUCUAAGACAGCUGAGGCCCCAGGAAGAGUGGAGGAAGAAGAGAAUCACCACAUAUCGUAUUUAGAGGUCCUGCAGAAAGGGCAGAGCGAGUUUCAUGUUUGAGUGCAGUGGAUGCAUGGGCAAAGCAUUACACAGCCGCUCCAUGGAAGUGACAAUGAGCCUUGUCUUUCACACAUAACUCCAGGAACCAGGGGAAACAAAACCAAUUCCACCCAGAGGUACAGACAAAGAAGAGCACCCUCCCAAAGGAGCCCGCAUGAUAAGUGGCCACGGCGAACAUCACUGUGAUCAGUCAGAAAGGCAGGCGAGUUAUUAGCUUAGCCCUGAACCUCCUACUUAAUGUAGAACCAGUGGUGAUGGUUAACAGACCCUGGCUGCAGUGACAAGCCUGGGACCUGCUCGAGGAAAUCCAAUUGAAAAGCAGCCAAGAGGAACAACAAGCUAGAAACAGAUGUUCCAGCUACCAGGAUGUGCACGCAUUUAACCUGAAUAUGUAGUUGGGGUGGGAUGGUAGCAUUCGUUUCUAAAUAUAGUGAUUUCACUUCUUCCCCCAUAUAGAUAUUGUCAAGUUCAAUUAUAGCCAUCCACAUUAGUUUUGUCAAAUUUUCUGCAAUUUCUUUAAAAUAAGAAGAUGUCAGAAUGAUAACUGCUAUUAAGGGAAUUCAGGGUGUUUGAUUUAUCUACCCAGUCUUACUAAAACAUUUCAGUUAAAUCAUCCACUCUUAAACUCCAGUCUCAUAGCAAUUAAAAAUUAUCUUUUAAAAAAUUGCCCAAAUGAAAUUCCAACAGUUCAUGUAAUUAUUUGAUUUAAUAUUACCAUGUUAGUAAAAUAUCUUUAAGAUAGUUAUA
Gorilla gorilla gorilla (western lowland gorilla) is the source of this 1111-nucleotide long non-coding RNA. RefSeq lists it as uncharacterized. Lineage: Eukaryota; Metazoa; Chordata; Mammalia; Primates; Hominidae. The record is from RefSeq and is a predicted model, not a curated record. The transcript has 3 exons.